This 115-nucleotide ribosomal RNA is filed under the name uncultured bacterium. Its description in RNAcentral is "partial 16S ribosomal RNA". It matches the Rfam family "Bacterial small subunit ribosomal RNA", at positions 356 to 473 of the family's 1533-position model. The record is from RNAcentral.
GAGGAAUAUUGCGCAAUGGGGGAAACCCUGACGCAGCGACGCCGCGUGGAUGAUGAAGGCCUUUGGGUCGUAAAAUCCUGUCAGAUGGAAAGAAAUGCUACUGGUUUAAUAUGCC